This 1877-nucleotide long non-coding RNA is filed under the name Cricetulus griseus (Chinese hamster). RNAcentral describes it as "lncRNA (ENSCGRG00015042737.1)". Lineage: Eukaryota; Metazoa; Chordata; Mammalia; Rodentia; Cricetidae. The record is from RNAcentral.
CUCUGUUCUCCAAAUGUGGAUGUGAUAUGAAGACUGCCAGAGUUCCUGCCUGAGCUCCUCGAAAGGGUGGACUGUAAUCUGGAAUUGUGACACAAACAAGCCAUUUCCUCCUCCACAUUGCUUUUCACCCGAGUCUGUCAGAGCAACAGAAACGAAACUAGAACAUGUACCAAGAUGACUUCUUUCAGAAAUGUGGAACUAGGCCCAUGUCUCCUUGCCUGAACAUUCAUUCUGCAGCUGGGAAGAGGAUGGGGAAGACAUCCAUUCCUGGUCUACGAUCCUUGAAGCAGUAUGAAGAGUUGCUUUUCUAUUGGAGGCACCACACACUUUGCUCCUUUGUCCCCCUCUGUUUGGAGCAUUCCUUGCUUGUGUGUCCUGCAGAUUCUGGUUCUUAGGCCAGAGCCACCCAUUGCCCCCUUGCUUCUCCAACUCCUGGAAUGACUCCAUGGCUCAUAUCUGACUCUCCAAGGCCCCUGAGUUUUCAUGAUCUGAACCUAUCCUUAUCCAUCUACUUCCCAACUGGAGGACUGAGAGAAAGCUGUAAAGACAAAUCAUUUAGACCUACUUGAUAGUCAAGAAAGCACUACUAACUAAAUGUCCUGUCUUUAGGAACAGAAACAUAUUUUUUAGUUAAAAAGCAGUUAUAAUGUAUGUGUUAUAUAUAUCAAAUCAGGCUAUCCCACAUGGGCUAACAAUACCUACCUCAGGAGUCAUAGAGUAUCUAACAAAACCCCCUAUAUCAGACACAAGACGCCACAUUUUGAGUUGUUGCUUAGGACUGUCCAAAAGACUCCUAAAACAAUAUAGGUUAUCACUGGUUGCCUCUCAGAGGUUGAAAAUAAAUUCCUAUUGUGAAGACGACAUGCAUUUCUGGUACAAGACUGGAAGAUCUGAGCUAGAUCUUCCUUGAAGACUAGCUGUCCUAGAACUGGAAUGUGAAAGCUUUCAAGGAAAGACAGCAACCAGAGGUCCUGCCCAGCUUCAAUGCCUAUGAACCACAGUGACCAGCACAGCAUCAGACCCUAAGGGGGACAAUAAUAGUACUCAUAUCUUAUAGUAGCCAACAGCUCUCUUAUUGGACUUAAGACCUCUUAACAGGAGGGAAAUAAUGCCUGGUACUGGAACCUAGCUAACUACCCCAGAGCAGUGAGGUCUUAGAGAGCUUUAUACUGCCACCUAACUAAGCCAGCAUGAUCCCUAACUUUGUUCUAAAAUUCUAUCCUUAUGUUCACAGAUAGUGCAACUCUCACCCCUCAUCAAAAAGACUUCUCUUUGCAGCAAAAGGAGACCAUUACAGAAAACCACAACCAGUCAGAAUAUAGAGAAGAGUGUGUAUGGGGUGACCCAUAAUUGAUCCAUUACAAUAAAACUCCUGUACCUAAGGUUCGAGGAACUGGGCAGAAGAAGGGGAGGAAAAAUUGUAAGAGUUAAAUGGCCAGGCAAUCUAUUAUGAGAUUGUCUCCUAGAAAUGACAGGGAAAUUCACCUAUAAUCCCUCAAUAACAUGGCUGCUUAAACAAGAGCCGAAGAAGUGCAACACCGAUAGACAGACUACCAUAAAAGUGAGAUCCCUCGCUGGACCCUACCCAUGGACAAUGAACUACAGGCAACUACGGAAUGCUGGGAGCAGGAGAAAUAAUCCUCUUCAAGAAUGAGUCCCCUAAUUAGUUAUCCAAUAUGAAAUGGUCAAUCUUGAAAACAUACAUCAAGUACCACUAAGCGGACUGGACAGCUUCUCUCUCUCUCUCUCUCUCUCUCUCUGUGUGUGUGUGUGUGUGUGUGUACAUAAGUAUGUUGACAAUAACAAAGAAAAGGAGACCAGUAUUUUGAGAGAAAGUAGGAGAGGUACAUGGAAGAGGUUGGAGGGAGGAAAGGGAA